AGAAACACAGAGAAAGGGUUAAGAAUUAAUCUGACUAUCAGAGAGGAGUUUCCAGAGGCUGAAAGGAAUUCCAGUCAUUAUUAAUUCAUUCUGCCGCCCUGGAGUGGUGAGGUCGAAUCAGCAGUAGGCCUUGACCGUAGCAGCUGCGUUAAAGUUGAGAGAGGUUAAGGAAGUUUUUCCUUAAUAAUUAGGGUGGUACCGCGAGAUAACAACUCUCGUCUCUAAA
RNAcentral lists this non-coding RNA (226 nucleotides) under Acetohalobium arabaticum. RNAcentral describes it as "T-box sequence". It matches the Rfam family "T-box leader". Rfam says of the family: Uncharged tRNA acts as the effector for transcription antitermination of genes in the T-box leader family. T-boxes are found upstream of many aminoacyl-tRNA synthetase genes and some amino acid biosynthetic genes usually in Gram-positive bacteria. Lineage: Bacteria; Bacillati; Bacillota; Clostridia; Halanaerobiales; Halobacteroidaceae. The record is from RNAcentral.